UGGUAGUCCAAGCCAGCGGCCCCAUCAACUAUCACCGUCUUCCUCACCAUGUUCGGAGAGAAACUCAAGGGCGCUGAUCCGGAGGACGCUAUCAUGGCUGCCUUCAAGGUUCUGGACCCAGAAGGCACGGGGUCCAU
Polyodon spathula (Mississippi paddlefish) is the source of this 137-nucleotide long non-coding RNA. RefSeq lists it as uncharacterized. NCBI's taxonomy places the organism in Eukaryota, Metazoa, Chordata, Actinopteri, Acipenseriformes, Polyodontidae. The transcript has 2 exons. The record is from RefSeq and is a predicted model, not a curated record.